RNAcentral lists this ribosomal RNA (402 nucleotides) under Triticum aestivum (bread wheat). RNAcentral's name for it is "partial small subunit ribosomal RNA". Lineage: Eukaryota; Viridiplantae; Streptophyta; Magnoliopsida; Poales; Poaceae. The record is from RNAcentral.
AUGAAGAUUUCCCAUAUAGGUCAUGCAUAUGUUCGUACCCCUACUCACAAUCUUCAUCUCAAAAAUAUCUUGCAUGUGCCCAAAGCCACUAAAAACUUGAUCUCUGCUCAUCGUCUAGGUAAUGACAAUCAUGUGUUUCUUGAAACUCAUCCUCAUUUUUUCUACGUCAAGGACAAGGCAAUGAGGCAAACCCUCCUCCACGGCAAGUGUAGAAACGGGCUCUAUCCCCUAUCAUCAGCUCCAAUAAGCUCGGGCAGACAUGCACUUGGCGCCACCAAGAUCUCUCCAUCAAGGUGGCACGAUCGUUUAGGACAUCCAUCCUUGGCAAUAGUUCAACAUGUUCUUAGACAAAAUAAAAUUUCCUUUUCUAGCAAAGAGUUGAAUAAAGAGGGAGUGUGUUAU